Molecule: ribosomal RNA, 236 nt
Filed under: uncultured bacterium
Lineage: Bacteria
Description: partial 16S ribosomal RNA
Rfam family: Bacterial small subunit ribosomal RNA
Source: RNAcentral
CGGGACGGGUGAGUAACGCGUGGAUAACCUGCCUCACACUGGGGGAUAACGGUUAGAAAUGACUGCUAAUACCGCAUGAGCGCACAGUACCGCAUGGUACGGUGUGAAAAACUCCGGUGGUGUGAGAUGGAUCCGCGUCUGAUUAGCCAGUUGGCGGGGUAACGGCCCACCAAAGCGACGAUCAGUAGCCGACCUGAGAGGGUGACCGGCCACAUUGGGACUGAGACACGGCCCAA